RNAcentral lists this ribosomal RNA (2838 nucleotides) under Clostridioides difficile. RNAcentral describes it as "23S ribosomal RNA". It matches the Rfam family "Bacterial large subunit ribosomal RNA". Lineage: Bacteria; Bacillati; Bacillota; Clostridia; Peptostreptococcales; Peptostreptococcaceae. The record is from RNAcentral.
UCAAGUUAUUAAGGGUGCAGGGCGGAUGCCUUGGCACUAGGAGCCGAUGAAGGACGUGAUAAGCUGCGAUAAGCUUCGGGGAGUUGCACGUAAACUUUGAUCCGAAGAUUUCCGAAUGAGGAAACUCACUUAGAGUAAUGUCUAAGUAUCAUUAAGUGAAUACAUAGCUUAAUGAGGGGAACUCAGGGAACUGAAACAUCUAAGUACCUGAAGGAAGAGAAAGAAAUUCGAUUCCGUAAGUAGCGGCGAGCGAACGCGGAUUAGCCCAAACCAAUAAAGUUUUCUUUAUUGGGGUUGCGGACAUAUCAUAACGAAGAGGUAUCGUAAUUGAAGAGGUUUGGAAAGACCCACCACAGAAGGUAAUAGUCCUGUAUGUUAAACGAGAAGACUUUAGAUAUGAUCCAGAGUACCACGGGACACGUGAAACCCUGUGGGAAGCAGGAGGGACCACCCUCCAAGGCUAAAUACUACCUAGUGACCGAUAGCGUAUAGUACCGUGAGGGAAAGGUGAAAAGAACCCCGGGAGGGGAGUGAAAUAGAACCUGAAACCCUGCACUUACAAGCUGUGGAAGCACAUUUCUUGUGUGACCGCGUACUUUUUGUAGAACGGGCCAACGAGUUACGUUAAGUAGCAAGGUUAAGCACUUAAGGUGCGGAGCCGUAGCGAAAGCGAGUUUUAACUGAGCGUUCAGUUACUUGACGUAGACCCGAAACCGGGCGACCUACCCAUGAGCAGGAUGAAGCGAAAGUAAAAUUUCGUGGAGGUCCGAACCCACGAGCGUUGAAAAGCUCGGGGAUGACUUGUGGGUAGCGGUGAAAUUCCAAUCGAGCCCGGAGAUAGCUGGUUCUCCCCGAAAUAGCUUUAGGGCUAGCCUCAAGGUGAGAGAUACGGAGGUAGAGCACUGAAUGUCCUAGGGGGUAUUGCACCUACCGAAGACUAUCAAACUCCGAAUGCCGUCAUCUUAUACUUGGGAGUCAGACUGUGGGUGAUAAGAUUCAUAGUCGAAAGGGCAACAGCCCAGAUCGUCAGCUAAGGUCCCUAAAUGUAAGUUAAGUGGUAAAGGAUGUGGGAUUGCACAGACAACCAGGAUGUUGGCUUAGAAGCAGCCACUCAUUCAAAGAGUGCGUAAUAGCUCACUGGUCGAGUGAUCCUGCGCCGAAGAUUUCCGGGGCUAAAACUUACUACCGAAGCUACGGCAUCAGUAAUGAUGGGUAGGGGAGCUUCCCAUACGGGUUGAAGCAUGACCGUAAGGACAUGUGGACAGUAUGGGAGUGAGAAUGUUGGCAUGAGUAGCGAGAUGUGGGUGAGAAUCCCACAGGCCGUAAACCCAAGGUUUCCAGGGGAAGGUUCGUCCGCCCUGGGUUAGUCGGGACCUAAGCUGAGGCCGAAAGGCGUAGGUGAUGGACAACAGGUUGAUAUUCCUGUACUACCGAUAACCGUUUGAGAGAAGGGAUGACACAGUAGGAUAAGCUAAGCACACUGUUGGUUAUGUGUGCCCAAGCAUUGAGGCAGUCAAAGUAGGCAAAUCCGCUUUGAUAAUGCUGGGAUGUGAUGGGGAGCGAAAUUUAGUAGCGAAGUAGCUGAUUUCACACUGUCAAGAAAAGUCUCUAUCGAGGUUAAAGGUACCCGUACCGCAAACCGACACAGGUGGGUGAGGAGAGUAUCCUAAGGCCAGCGAGAGAACUGUUGUUAAGGAACUCGGCAAAAUGACCCCGUAACUUAGGGAUAAGGGGUGCCACCAUCAGGUGGCCGCAGAGAAUAGGCCCAAGCGACUGUUUACCAAAAACAUAGGUUUCUGCUAAGUCGCAAGACGAUGUAUAGGAGCUGACGCCUGCCCGGUGCUGGAAGGUUAAGGGGAUCUGUUAGAGCAAUCGAAGCAGUGAACUUAAGCCCCAGUAAACGGCGGCCGUAACUAUAACGGUCCUAAGGUAGCGAAAUUCCUUGUCGGGUAAGUUCCGACCCGCACGAAAGGCGUAACGAUUUGGGCACUGUCUCAACAACAGACUCGGUGAAAUUGUAAUUCCGGUGAAGAUGCCGGAUACCUGCGACAGGACGGAAAGACCCCAUGGAGCUUUACUGUAGCUUGACAUUGGGUCUUGGUACUACAUGUACAGGAUAGGUGGGAGGCUUUGAAACCAGGACGCCAGUUUUGGCGGAGCCAUCCUUGGGAUACCACCCUUGUAGUACUGGGACUCUAACCAUAGGCCAUGAAUCUGGUCUUGGGACACUGUCAGGUGGGCAGUUUGACUGGGGCGGUCGCCUCCCAAAAGGUAACGGAGGCGCUCAAAGGUUCUCUCAGUACGGUCGGAAAUCGUACGUAGAGUGUAAAGGCAAAAGAGAGCUUGAUUGCAAGACAUACAGGUCGAGCAAGGAUGAAAAUCGGACUUAGUGAUCCGGUGGUUCUGCGUGGAAGGGCCAUCGCUCAACGGAUAAAAGCUACCCUGGGGAUAACAGGCUUAUCUCCCCCAAGAGUCCACAUCGACGGGGAGGUUUGGCACCUCGAUGUCGGCUCAUCACAUCCUGGGGCUGUAGUAGGUCCCAAGGGUUGGGCUGUUCGCCCAUUAAAGUGGUACGCGAGCUGGGUUCAGAACGUCGUGAGACAGUUCGGUCCCUAUCCGUCGCAGGCGUAGGAAAUUUGAGAAGACCUGUCCUUAGUACGAGAGGACCGGGAUGGACGUACCUCUGGUGUACCAGUUGUUCUGCCAAGGGCAUGGCUGGGUAGCUAUGUACGGAAUGGAUAAGCGCUGAAAGCAUCUAAGCGCGAAGCCAACUUCAAGAUAAGAUUUCCCACCGCAAGGGUAAGACCCCAGAAAGACUAUCUGGUUGAUAGGUCGAAG